Macaca mulatta (Rhesus monkey) is the source of this 876-nucleotide non-coding RNA. Lineage: Eukaryota; Metazoa; Chordata; Mammalia; Primates; Cercopithecidae. The record is from RefSeq and is a predicted model, not a curated record.
UUGUGCCAAAUGAAUUUCAGCUAGAACUCUGCAAAGGCAUUUACGUAAGGAAAUAAAAUAGUUUAUUCAGCAUGUGAAUCCCCUCUGAAUGUGACCAGAUGGAAAUUAAUUGGGGAUUUCUUUGUCUUUCUGUCCUUUCGUAUAGACUUCAAUAUAACUUUCCUAAAUGAAUUAAAAGAUGAACUCUUUUAUGUUCAAAACCUUAAUAUCAUCUCAUUAAUGAACACAUGACAAAGUGAUUUUGAUAGAGAUAUGCUUGCCAUUGUCAUUCUAGUCAUUGUUAACACCAAAAAACGAUGUUGUCUGUAUUAGCUGGAACAUUCUAAGUGCCUUCAGGUUUAAUUCAAUCAUUUCAUUGAACAUCAAGAACCAAUAUAAAUAGUAUUCAAAUAAUGCCAUGUGAGAGGAUUCUGGGCUUGCAUUGAGACUUGUUCUUUUUUUACUUAUGGAGCUGAUUUGCUGUGAGACUUCAAGGAGGGCAAGGGACACACUCUGUACCUCCUGUGAAGCUCCUUAGGAAACAUCUGACCCAACUCUCUUGAGCUGUACAUGAAGAAACUCCAACCCAGAGAGGAUAUUGUAGGCCAAGCUGAUGGGCAGUGCCUCUGACGGUCAGAGUGAAAAAUCAGCCACAAACCGGAGGGAAUGAGGAAUGCAGCAAUGAGACCUCUUUACAGGAACCAUGAAUAGCUGUUGUUUUUUGGCUUCUAACAGAGAGAAGAUCACUCUUGCUGGAAGCAAAGGGAGUAUUUUUUUUAGUAACUGCGCAUUUAGUAUGGAGGUAAUUUAAGUGCGUGUUUUUAUGUGUUGCUGCUGUUGACUAUCACAACCAGUUUUUCUAAUUCUCUAAAUGUUCAAUACAUCUUUCAUGCCCCA